This 25-nucleotide non-coding RNA is filed under the name Rattus norvegicus (Norway rat). Lineage: Eukaryota; Metazoa; Chordata; Mammalia; Rodentia; Muridae. The record is from RNAcentral.
UCAAUGACUGGAUCCACCAGUUGGG